Molecule: ribosomal RNA, 342 nt
Filed under: Rostratoverruca krugeri
Lineage: Eukaryota; Metazoa; Arthropoda; Thecostraca; Verrucomorpha; Verrucidae
Description: partial 12S ribosomal RNA
Source: RNAcentral
UGUUACUAAUCAAUUUAUAAUGUUUUGAAGUAGUAAUUUUUUUAAAAUUUAAUGGAUUUGGCGGCUAGACAGCUUGUUAGAGGAACCUGCCCUGUUAUUGAUAAUCCACAAUUGCCUGGCUUUUUUUUGAGAUAUUCAGUUUGUAUAUCGCUGUUGUUAGUUAGUUUUAAUAAGAAACUUUCAAUUAUAAUAAUAUUAUUGACUUCAAGUAAUGUAGCAGCUUAUAAAAAAGAUAGAGGUGGGUUACAAUGUUAAUACACAUACGGAUAAGUAAUUUAAAAAUGUUUUGAAGGAGGAUUUAAUAGUAAAUUAAUAAAUAAAUUGAUUUUAGCUCUGUCUUGU